GACGAACGCUGGCGGCGUGCUUAACACAUGCAAGUCGAACGGAAAGGCCCUGCUUUUGUGGGGUGCUCGAGUGGCGAACGGGUGAGUAACACGUGAGUAACCUGCCCUUGACUUUGGGAUAACUUCAGGAAACUGGGGCUAAUACCGGAUAGGAGCUCCUGCUGCAUGGUGGGGGUUGGAAAGUUUCGGCGGUUGGGGAUGGACUCGCGGCUUAUCAGCUUGUUGGUGGGGUAGUGGCUUACCAAGGCUUUGACGGGUAGCCGGCCUGAGAGGGUGACCGGCCACAUUGGGACUGAGAUACGGCCCAGACUCCUACGGGAGGCAGAAGUGGGGAAGAUUGCACAAUGGGCGGAAGCCUGAUGCAGCAACGCCGCGUGCGGGAUGACGGCCUUCGGGUUGUAAACCGCUUUCGCCUGUGACGAAGCGUGAGUGACGGUAAUGGGUAAAGAAGCACCGGCUAACUACGUG
Molecule: ribosomal RNA, 468 nt
Filed under: uncultured bacterium
Lineage: Bacteria
Description: partial 16S ribosomal RNA
Rfam family: Bacterial small subunit ribosomal RNA
Source: RNAcentral